This is a non-coding RNA of Pogona vitticeps (central bearded dragon), 577 nucleotides long. The record is from RefSeq and is a predicted model, not a curated record. NCBI's taxonomy places the organism in Eukaryota, Metazoa, Chordata, Lepidosauria, Squamata, Agamidae.
CUGGCCCUGCCCGGGCCGGUCAAGGGGGCGCUGGGGCGCGUGGGCGGCUGGAGGCCGAGGUGUGGGAGACUCUUUUUAUUACUUGGACGUUCAGCCCCGUCGGAUUUGGAGGGCAUUACGUCUGAAGACACAACGCGGGCCGGCGAGAGCUGAGCGGGGCUCCCUUGGCGGGAACGUGAAGGCAGCAAAGCUUUGCCCUUUUGUGUGUCAGGUCAACACGGCUCUCCCGUUAGACACCUUUUGACGGGGCUGCCUGCGCGCUGAAGAGAUCCAUCCUCUGGUUAUCAGUCAAACAAACAAAAGGAACCUGUAUCGGAGGAAUCAACGCUGAAAUUAAAUGUGUUAAUCUUCAGGGUGCUGUACUUGUUUCUUUUGACUUCCACCCCCGGGAGUUAAGAUUGACUUCCAUCUAGCUCAAAUUUGAAAUAUUGUCACCUUCUCCUCUGGUCCUGGGCUUCGAGCAGCACCCAGAUGCCGGCAUGACCCCCCCCAAAAAAAGAACACUAAAGAUCCAACAGAACUGAACAAGUAAAAUGCUUUAAGUCUUUGUAGCUGGCAUCUUCAGAGGACAGGAGCU